UACGGGGGGGGCAAGCGUUGUUCGGAAUUACUGGGCGUAAAGGGUCUGUAGGUGGCCAACUAAGUCAGACGUGAAAUCCCUCAGCUUAACUGGGGAACUGCGUCUGAUACUGGUUGGCUUGAGUGCAGGAGAGGAAUGCGGAAUUCCAGGUGUAGCGGUGAAAUGCGUAGAUAUCUGGAGGAACACCGGUGGCGAAGGCGGCAUUCUGGACUGCAACUGACACUGAAAGACGAAAGCCAGGGGAGCAAACGGG
Molecule: ribosomal RNA, 253 nt
Filed under: uncultured bacterium
Lineage: Bacteria
Description: partial 16S ribosomal RNA
Rfam family: Bacterial small subunit ribosomal RNA
Source: RNAcentral